Molecule: ribosomal RNA, 164 nt
Filed under: Paramuricea clavata
Lineage: Eukaryota; Metazoa; Cnidaria; Anthozoa; Malacalcyonacea; Plexauridae
Description: Eukaryotic small subunit ribosomal RNA
Rfam family: Eukaryotic small subunit ribosomal RNA
Source: Rfam by way of RNAcentral
CACCGCCCAUCGCUACUACCGAUUGAAUAGUUUAGUGAGGUUUCCAGAUUGGCACUGUCAGAUGGGCUUCGUAUCAUCCGACGGACGUCAAAAAGUUGGUCAAACUUGAUCUUUUAGAGGAAGUAAAAGUCGGAACAAAGUUUCCGUAGGUGAACCUGCGAAAG